GGGUGUUUAGCUCAGCUGGUUUAGAGCAUCUGCCUUACAAGCAGAGGGUCGGGGGUUCGAAUCCCUCAACACCCA
RNAcentral lists this transfer RNA (75 nucleotides) under Muribaculaceae bacterium. RNAcentral's name for it is "tRNA-Val". It matches the Rfam family "tRNA". From Rfam's summary of the family: Transfer RNA (tRNA) molecules are approximately 80 nucleotides in length. Their secondary structure includes four short double-helical elements and three loops (D, anti-codon, and T loops). The record is from RNAcentral. Lineage: Bacteria; Pseudomonadati; Bacteroidota; Bacteroidia; Bacteroidales; Muribaculaceae.